UCACAGCUACAACUGUACCAUCAACUGCAACACAACCAACAGAACUGAACACUACAACUUUAGACACAACACA
Non-coding RNA from Pangasianodon gigas (Mekong giant catfish), 73 nucleotides. Lineage: Eukaryota; Metazoa; Chordata; Actinopteri; Siluriformes; Pangasiidae. The record is from the annotation of a GenBank genome assembly.